This is a long non-coding RNA of Camellia sinensis, 806 nucleotides long. RefSeq lists it as uncharacterized. Lineage: Eukaryota; Viridiplantae; Streptophyta; Magnoliopsida; Ericales; Theaceae. The record is from RefSeq and is a predicted model, not a curated record.
UUACCGUUGCUGUGCUGCACCAUCGCCUCUUCAUUCUGGCUCGAGCAAACCAUACAUGCUAUUGACUUCUUGUUGAGAUGACUUUGGGUAUGGUUGCAGAUUAAACUAACUAAUUCAGUUCUCAUUGUUUAUAAUAUAGCAACUGAUUCAACUGUGUGGUAUUCUCAUCACAUUCCCAAGGUUGAGUGAUAUGAUAUCACUUCCAACUUUUUAAAGAGGUGGUCUGUAUUUUUUUUACCCCUUCUGUUCAUGAGAUUAGAGUGAUUUUGAGUCUUUGACAACGCAGCUUGUAAUUUUACAUGCUUGAGGGUUAAACUAGUACUGCUUCUUCUUCAUCUGGAAGUGGACAUUGUACUGUUAAAAAAGAUUUUAAAGAGGGGGCAUUUUUUCAUUACGUUGCGAAAAAUGCAAUUUCUUGUAGUGAGGUCUUCCGCUGUUUUUCCUUCAGUUGGUGGGCUGAGGUUCUUCCACAAAUUUUCAAGUAAUUGCAAUCUUCCUCUUAGUUGUUAUCAGCGACGGGUUACUGACGAAGCUCUACGGGUCGACAAAGCUCUUUGCCGACGAUUUCUGCCUUUUGGUGACGAAUUUUGUUGUGUUGCCAAAACUGUUUUUUGUUGUAGUGUGUAAAGAAGAUGUUCUUGUUGUAAACCAAAUUUGAUUCCAAAGCACCCUCAAGUUUGAGUUAUGAUUUUCAAUCUUCUAAUCAAGUUCCAAGUUCAAGCUCUUGUAUGGUAUGUAUGGAUGACAUGAGAGCUUCAAGGCUUAUGGAAGAACAAGAAGGAUAAUAGCUUUGAUCUUUUCUAACU